CAAAGAGAGAAGUCAAUAAUACAAAGACCUGGGUUCCAGAGAGCGACAAGAUGAGUAAGUAAAUCCAAAGGUCAAGAAGUCCAGAGAGACACAACAACCAGCAAUCCAAGGAGCAAGGUUUCCAGCCAGACUGUCAUCCUCCAGUUCAUGAAGGAUGGUGCAGAGAAACUCUUCUUUGUGGGAAACAUGGAGCCUCUCCUUAGAUAUCAUAUCUGAAGUGAUGAUGACAUGGCAUAAGCAGGCCUGGUCCAAGACAUUUCACUGAAAGAGGUGAAUAAGAAGAAGGUCUCCCCAGUUCCAUGUACAGAAGAAGCUUAUUUCAAUAUUUGGUGAGGAAACAAGGUCCUCCUCCUGAAGCCAGCAGUAGGACAGGCUGCCUGGUACACUGCCUGGGCCAUUCAGUUCAAGACUUAAUUGCUCAUCCCUACUUUCAUUAUUUGUCCCCAACUGCUGUCUGAGGUAGCCAUGUAAGGCUGCAUCUGCACUGCAGAAAUAAUGCAGUUUGGCACUACUUUAACCACUUUAAAAGUGGUGUCAAACUGCAUUAUUUUUGCAGUGCAGAUGAGGCCUUACUCUGCUGAAUGCUAAAAUCUCCCUCAGGUAUAGGGGCUUUAGGAUCCAAAUAUCAUGGAAGGGGGCAUAGUUUUAUGUCUAUAUCUUUUGUGGGCCAGUUACUAUGGACUUUCUCAUAUCUAUAAGGCAGCAUUUUGGGAAAUAUUGAAAACUACAUAAUACUUGCAUGAUUUGAUCCACACAUGACUAAUAGUGUUGUGAUGUAAUCAGACAAAAUUUUUAAAAGUCAUGAAUAGAUUUUUUUUGUGUGUGUGGAUUUUUCGGGCUAUGUGGCCAUGUUCUAGAAGAGUUGGCCACAUCGCCCAAAAAGCCUACAAAAAACUAUGGGUGCCGGCCAUGAAAGCCUUAGACUUCACAUCAUGAAUAGAUAUUGGCUGGAAUACUGUUAGUGACUUAGCAUGGUAUAAAUGCAAUCCAUAUGGUUGUAAGUCACUUUUUUCCAUCAUUGCAGAGGUUGGAAUGCUUUAUCACCCUCAUGCAGUGAUCAAAAUCCAUCCUAAAAACAAAAUAUAGACAAACAAACAAACAAAAGCUUUUAGCUACAAGAGACCCCCCUUUUUUUCCCCCACCAUGGACAUUUAGUGACAAAGUGGAGUAGAACAAAAAUAUAUCAAAAAAAUGGCACCCUACUGUUGCUCUUGAUCACUUGGGACAAAUCUCUGUUCAGAACUCAGUGAUCCAAACAAUGAAUGAGCAGAGUCUGAUAUCCAUGGAGAUGUCAGAGAUGGGGCCAGCAUGUCCAGUCCAAUUCCUUCUCCCAUUUUAGGCCUUUUCAAAGAAGCACAGGAAUAUAAUUUCAAUUUGUCUUUUCUUCCUGUAUUUAUUAAAACCCAAAUUUGCAAAAGUUGAAUGGGAAAGAAAACAAAACUGACAGAUAGUCCAUGCCGAAGGAUGGAUAAAAAAAUUAAUAUUGAUUUCUUUGGGAGGCUAACCUGGCUCCCUCCUUUUCAUUGACAUGUGGAUGCUUCCCCCACCCCCAGCAGACUUUGAGAAACUGAUUAUUUUUCAGAGAAAAGUACAGUGUACUGUACUACUUUCAUCCUUAUCUUGAAAAUAUUUUUAUACAGUUGUAAUUCUAUUUACAGUUUAAUGAUUUUAAUCAAAUGCUUCUAUAUGUUUUUAGCUAAAUGUAUUUAUUUGCAUUUUUUAAAAUGUAAAACACCUAGAUUCCCAGCUUUGGAAA
This is a long non-coding RNA of Sceloporus undulatus (fence lizard), 1756 nucleotides long. RefSeq lists it as uncharacterized. NCBI's taxonomy places the organism in Eukaryota, Metazoa, Chordata, Lepidosauria, Squamata, Phrynosomatidae. The transcript is spliced from 3 exons. The record is from RefSeq and is a predicted model, not a curated record.